UACGUAGGGACCGAGCGUUGUCCGGAAUCAUUGGGCGUAAAGAGCGUGUAGGCGGCCCGAUAAGUCCGCUGUAAAAGUCCAGGGCUCAACCCUGGAAAGCCGGUGGAUACUGUCGGGCUAGAGUCCGGAAGAGGCGAGUGGAAUUCCUGGUGUAGCGGUGGAAUGCGCAGAUAUCAGGAGGAACACCGAUGGCGAAGGCAGCUCGCUGGGACGGUACUGACGCUAAGGCGCGAAAGCGUGGGGAGCGAACAGG
Molecule: ribosomal RNA, 253 nt
Filed under: uncultured bacterium
Lineage: Bacteria
Description: partial 16S ribosomal RNA
Rfam family: Bacterial small subunit ribosomal RNA
Source: RNAcentral